This 126-nucleotide ribosomal RNA is filed under the name Jaculus jaculus (lesser Egyptian jerboa). The record is from RNAcentral. Lineage: Eukaryota; Metazoa; Chordata; Mammalia; Rodentia; Dipodidae.
GUCUAUGGCCAUACCACCCUGAAUGUUUCCGAUCUUAUCUGAUCUCAGAAGCUAAGCAGGGUCGGACCUGAUUAAUACUUGGAUGGGAGAAAUGGCUCUUCAGUGCCAGGCAGGGUGGCACAUGCC